AGCUGCUAAUACGAGUGGACGUGCUUUCAAUAUAUCAUGCUAGCAUAAAGUUAAUGUUGUGUUGCCGUGUGCGUUACUGCCAAUGCUGUCUGGGUGUGUGAUGGUGGUAACCAUGGCAGUGUGGAGCAUGGAGAUGCACUUCCUGAGAGUGUCCAGGCAGCAGUGGAGCUGCUCCGCCAGACCUGAAUCUUGCAAAGUAGCAGCCCUCCCCUGGACCAGGCCACGCAGCUGCACCAGCCUCUCAGAGAAGCUCUGGAAGGAGCAGAACAGGGAGGGCAUGUCCCUGCUGGAGCACACCCCCCCCAGGCUCUCCAGGACCCCCUCUGCUGCUGACACCACCUUCCUCACGCAGGAGUCAUCCUCUACCUGGAGCACCUGCGAAGACGGGGGGUGGGAGGAGUCUGAGCACAUUUAUAAUCUAUGCACUGUUAAUGAUCAUGUCAGUUCAUGGAAUUAAAAAAAAACUUUUUAUUGUU
Long non-coding RNA from Osmerus eperlanus (European smelt), 476 nucleotides. RefSeq lists it as uncharacterized. The record is from RefSeq and is a predicted model, not a curated record. The transcript has 2 exons. NCBI's taxonomy places the organism in Eukaryota, Metazoa, Chordata, Actinopteri, Osmeriformes, Osmeridae.